ACUCCUACGGGAGGCAGCAGUGGGAAUAUUGCACAAUGGGGAAACCCUGAUGCAGCCAUGCCGCGUGUGUGAAGAAGGCCUUCGGUUGUAAAGCACUUUCAGUAGGGAGGAAGGUAGUGUAGUUAACACCUGCAUUAUUUGACGUUACCUACAGAAGAAGCACCGGCUAACUCCGUGCCAGCAGCCGCGGUAAUACGGAGGGGUGCGAGCGUUAAUCGGAAUUACUGGGCGUAAAGCGCAUGCAGGCGGCCUGUUAAGUCAGAUGUGAAAGCCCGGGGGCUUAACCUCGGAAUUGCAUUUGAAACUGGCAGGCUAGAGUCUUGUAGAGGGGGUAGAAUUUCAGGUGUAGCGGUGAAAUGCGUAGAGAUCUGAAGGAAUACCAGUGGCGAAGGCGGCCCCCUGGACAAAGACUGACGCUCAGAUGCGAAAGCGUGGGGAGCAAACAGGAUUAGAUACCCUGGUAGGAUAGCG
RNAcentral lists this ribosomal RNA (471 nucleotides) under uncultured bacterium. RNAcentral describes it as "bacterial SSU rRNA". It matches the Rfam family "Bacterial small subunit ribosomal RNA", at positions 335 to 799 of the family's 1533-position model. The record is from RNAcentral.